This 1037-nucleotide unclassified non-coding RNA is filed under the name Hevea brasiliensis (rubber tree). Lineage: Eukaryota; Viridiplantae; Streptophyta; Magnoliopsida; Malpighiales; Euphorbiaceae. The record is from RNAcentral.
GGGCGUUUACCCCCACUGAGGGUAGAAAAUUUCAAAAAGAUCACUAUAAAGCUCUCACAUCUCCACUCUCUCCCCUUUGUCUCUCCUACUCUAGCCCUCCAAGUCACUCUUAACUCUUGCAAAUGCAUCCAAUCGUACCGGGCGAUCUCUUCACCCGCUCACUCAGUUUAAGGGACCUCAAUGGUCCAUUGAACUUUCCUGCUCGUUCUCUUCGGGCUUUUCAUUUUCCUCAAGGCGUUCAUUCCAUAGUUUUUGAAGUACUAGACGUUCACAAUCAGCCAUUUCAUUUUCGCUUAUCCAAACGUCGAGUUGGUCCAUACCCAAAACCAGUUAUCUGCCAAGCCCUUUGGCGUCAGUACGUGAUGCAAAAAAAUCUCCGAGAGCACGAUAGAGUUCGUCUCAGGAGGGAGAAAUACUCAGUUGGAGGAGUCGUGACGUACAGGUACAGAGUUAUUGCCCAGAGGAGAAUGUUUUGCUUAUUUGGUGAGGAUAUAUGGGUUAAUGUGGAACAAUUGCAGGAGCCUCAUUAGCUACCAUACAUUCUGUUGGGUGUUUUGGUUCAUGCAGUUUUUUCAGUUUGUAGCAAUUCUUAGGGCCCCUUUUGGAUCUCCCCCUCUCUCUCCUGAUACAUGAGCACCAAACAAAAGGCUUGUGAUUUUACAUGUCUACUUCUUCUAAUUCACAAUUCUUAGAUUCUGGUUUUUGGCUUUGUUACAUUAUUCAUCAAAAUGGUUUGAAUUAUACUUUCACUUCAAUAAGGUAUGGGAUGGAAAAAAUAAUGCAAGAUGGGCCUUUAAAUACACAGGAAUUGCAGUAAAUUAGUUAAAUCCAAUUGAAAGAACCAUGAUGGGAGAGAACACCAUGAGAGAUCUGGGCCAAUAAAGUAAGGCAAAAACACUAAAAAAUGAAGAUUCAGUAGUAGAGGUCGGAUACAGGAUUAUAUACUCCAGAAUCCCUUUCAUUUUGCAAAGAUUUUCAUUCUAAACUUAUAAUGUGAUUUCAUAUUAAUUUGGAGAUCGCUUGGUUAUCAUGUCAAG